GGGUUCGAUUAUGGCUCAGAUUGAACGCUGGCAGGAUGCUGCGGCAGUCAGACGGCGGCCACGGACUUCGGUCUGGUGGCGAGAGUGAACGGGUGAGUAAUGUAUCGGAACGUGCCUAGUAGCGGGGGAUAACACAUAGCAUGUGUACCACAUACGCCCUUCGGGGAAAGCGGGGACCUUCGGGCCUCGCACUAUUAGAGCGUGAUAUCGAUUAAGCUAGUUGGUGGGGUAACGGCUCACCAAGGCGACGAUCCGUAGCUGGUUUGAAGGACGACCAGCCACACUGGGACUGGGCCGACCGGACUCCCGGGGAGGGAGCAGCAGUGUGGGAAUUUUUGGACAAUGGGGAAACCUGAUCCCGACCAUCCCGCGUGGUGAUGAAGGCCUUCGGGUUGUAAGCACUUUUGGCGGGAAAAACGGCACGGGAUAAUACCCCGUGCAGCUGACAGUACCACAAAUAUAAGCACCGGCUAACUACGUGCCAGCAGCCGCGGUAAUACGUAGGAGUGCAAGCGUUAAUCGGAAUUACUGGGCGUAAAAGCGUGCGCAGGCGGUUCGGAAGAAAGAUCAUGAAGUCCCAGAGCUUAACUUUGGAACUGCAUUUUUAACUACCGAGCUAGAGUGUGUCAGAGAGUGGAAUUCCGCGUGUAGCAGUGAAAUGCGUAGAUAUGCGGAGGAACACACCGAUGGCGAAGGCAGCCUCUGGGAUAACACUGACGCUCGUGCCCGAAAGCGUGGGGAGCAAACAAGUUAGAUACCUGGUAGUCCACGCCUAAACGAUGUCAACUAGCUGUUGGGGCCUUCGGGCCUUGGUAGCACCUUCAACGCGUGAAGUUGACCGCCUGGGAGUACGGUCGCAAGAUUAAAACUCAAAGGAAUUGACGGGGACCCGCACAAGCGGUGGAUGAUGUGGAUUAAUUCGAUGCAACGCGAAAAACCUUACUACCCUUAGCCGUAUCUGAAUCCCGAAGAGAUUUGGAGAGUGCUCGCAAAGAGAAACCGAUUUGAGUGCUACAUGGCUGUCGUCAGCUCGUGUCGUGAGAUGUUGGGUUAAGUCCCGCAACGAGCGCAACCCCUUGUCAUUGAUUUUACUACGAAGGGCACUCUAAUGAGACUGCCGGUGACAAACCGGAGGAAGGUGGGGAUGACGUCAAGUCCUCGCGGCCCUUAUGGGUAGGGCUUCACACGUCAUACAAUGGUCGGGACAGGGGUCGCCAACCCGCGAUGGGGAGCCAAUCCAGAAACCCGAUCGUAGUCCGGAUCGCAGUCUACAACUCAUUGCGUGAAGUCGGAAUCGCUAGUAGUCGCGGAUCAGCAUGUCAUGGUGAACUACGUUCCCGGGUCUUGUACCGCCCCGUCACACCAUGGGAGUGGGUUUUACAGUAGUUAGCCUAACCGUAGGAGGAGGCGAUUACUGCAGUAGGAUCCAUGACUGGAGACAGGUCAUGAUAAAGAAGGGUAACCCUGUUACCUUGAUGUCAGGCUGCAGUGUAA
This 1494-nucleotide ribosomal RNA is filed under the name uncultured Bordetella sp. RNAcentral's name for it is "partial 16S-23S ribosomal RNA intergenic spacer". It matches the Rfam family "Bacterial small subunit ribosomal RNA". The record is from RNAcentral. Lineage: Bacteria; Pseudomonadati; Pseudomonadota; Betaproteobacteria; Burkholderiales; Alcaligenaceae.